This 1329-nucleotide ribosomal RNA is filed under the name Escherichia coli. RNAcentral's name for it is "partial 23S ribosomal RNA". It matches the Rfam family "Bacterial large subunit ribosomal RNA", at positions 1573 to 2876 of the family's 2925-position model. The record is from RNAcentral. Lineage: Bacteria; Pseudomonadati; Pseudomonadota; Gammaproteobacteria; Enterobacterales; Enterobacteriaceae.
GGCACUACGGUGCUGAAGCAACAAAUGCCCUGCUUCCAGGAAAAGCCUCUAAGCAUCAGGUAACAUCAAAUCGUACCCCAAACCGACACAGGUGGUCAGGUAGAGAAUACCAAGGCGCUUGAGAGAACUCGGGUGAAGGAACUAGGCAAAAUGGUGCCGUAACUUCGGGAGAAGGCACGCUGAUAUGUAGGUGAAGCGACUUGCUCGUGGAGCUGAAAUCAGUCGAAGAUACCAGCUGGCUGCAACUGUUUAUUAAAAACACAGCACUGUGCAAACACGAAAGUGGACGUAUACGGUGUGACGCCUGCCCGGUGCCGGAAGGUUAAUUGAUGGGGUUAGCGGUAACGCGAAGCUCUUGAUCGAAGCCCCGGUAAACGGCGGCCGUAACUAUAACGGUCCUAAGGUAGCGAAAUUCCUUGUCGGGUAAGUUCCGACCUGCACGAAUGGCGUAAUGAUGGCCAGGCUGUCUCCACCCGAGACUCAGUGAAAUUGAACUCGCUGUGAAGAUGCAGUGUACCCGCGGCAAGACGGAAAGACCCCGUGAACCUUUACUAUAGCUUGACACUGAACAUUGAGCCUUGAUGUGUAGGAUAGGUGGGAGGCUUUGAAGUGUGGACGCCAGUCUGCAUGGAGCCGACCUUGAAAUACCACCCUUUAAUGUUUGAUGUUCUAACGUUGGCCCGUUAUCCGGGUUGCGGACAGUGUCUGGUGGGUAGUUUGACUGGGGCGGUCUCCUCCUAAAGAGUAACGGAGGAGCACGAAGGUUGGCUAAUCCUGGUCGGACAUCAGGAGGUUAGUGCAAUGGCAUAAGCCAGCUUGACUGCGAGCGUGACGGCGCGAGCAGGUGCGAAAGCAGGUCAUAGUGAUCCGGUGGUUCUGAAUGGAAGGGCCAUCGCUCAACGGAUAAAAGGUACUCCGGGGAUAACAGGCUGAUACCGCCCAAGAGUUCAUAUCGACGGCGGUGUUUGGCACCUCGAUGUCGGCUCAUCACAUCCUGGGGCUGAAGUAGGUCCCAAGGGUAUGGCUGUUCGCCAUUUAAAGUGGUACGCGAGCUGGGUUUAGAACGUCGUGAGACAGUUCGGUCCCUAUCUGCCGUGGGCGCUGGAGAACUGAGGGGGGCUGCUCCUAGUACGAGAGGACCGGAGUGGACGCAUCACUGGUGUUCGGGUUGUCAUGCCAAUGGCACUGCCCGGUAGCUAAAUGCGGAAGAGAUAAGUGCUGAAAGCAUCUAAGCACGAAACUUGCCCCGAGAUGAGUUCUCCCUGACUCCUUGAGAGUCCUGAAGGAACGUUGAAGACGACGACGUUGAUAGGCCGGGUGUGUAAGCGC